GUGCGGCUGUUGAGCAAAAGUUGGUACCGCAACCUAGGCCUUGGCCUCGUCGGCGCUCGUGGACUGCCUGUGGACGGGUUGCAGGCACAUCGCUACUGCGAACCGCCUCUGACCUGCAAUUUCCUCUCCCCAAGCAACGGCCUCCGGAGCCGUGUGCGCAGGUUCGAAUCCUGCGGGGCACU
This 182-nucleotide transfer RNA is filed under the name Streptomyces parvulus. Its description in RNAcentral is "tRNA-Arg". Lineage: Bacteria; Bacillati; Actinomycetota; Actinomycetes; Kitasatosporales; Streptomycetaceae. The record is from RNAcentral.